This 364-nucleotide ribosomal RNA is filed under the name Trichoderma harzianum. RNAcentral describes it as "eukaryotic LSU rRNA". The stretch from base 1 to 96 matches the Rfam family "5.8S ribosomal RNA", at positions 57 to 154 of the family's 154-position model. The record is from RNAcentral. Lineage: Eukaryota; Fungi; Ascomycota; Sordariomycetes; Hypocreales; Hypocreaceae.
GGGCAAGUAUGUGAUUGCAGAUUCAGUGAAUCAUCGAAUCUUUGAACGCACAUUGCGCCCGCCAGUAUUCUGGCGGGCAUGCCUGUCCGAGCGUCAUUUCAACCCUCGAACCCCUCCGGGGGGUCGGCGUUGGGGAUCGGCCCUCCCUUAGCGGGGGCCGUCUCCGAAAUACAGUGGCGGUCUCGCCGCAGCCUCUCCUGCGCAGUAGUUUGCACACUCGCAUCGGGAGCGCGGCGCGUCCACAGCCGUUAAACACCCAACUUCUGAAAUGUUGACCUCGGAUCAGGUAGGAAUACCCGCUGAACUUAAGCAUAUCAAUAAGCGGAGGAAAAUAGCUCCGGCGCUGCGUUCUCCUCGAUGCAUU